AAACAGAAGGCAGAGACAGCGACAGACUUCACGUCUCAGAAGCAGGAAAGGACUAAAUCAUCCUGCAUUAAACCCUGACUCAACCGCAGCUCACAGGAAAGUGGAACACCUGUUUCAAAAGACAAAUAUGAAGGAUGAUGAAACAGAUGCUUGGUAACAAGGCCACAGACAGAUGGACUUCACCAGAAGACUGAUGAGAGGAGGUGUGGGCGUGUGGGCGUGUUGGGGAACACCGACCCGAUUCUGAAUACAGAUCCCCUUUAGAAAUUUACCUAACUUGUUGUGAAAACCCUGUUGAGGUCAAGGUGACUUCAGAUCCGCGCCGAGUCUUGACAUUUUUUCCUCUUGAGCCAUUGUAACUGUUGCAUACUGUCGCUCAUGGGAAACCUGUGUUUGCUGACCACACAAUCACCAGCCAGUGCCUGGCACCACGAUUGCUUACAGUCCCUGAGCAUACAAACUGUGCGUCAGCCGGUUGGUCUGUGCACUUUCCCAUGUGGUGACAUACGGAUGUCUGCCCCUCCCAUAAUCAGGAUAUGAGCCGGUCAUCUGUUUGGCGGCACUCCUCUGCCCACUCUGAUGCUGUCGGUAACCCAUCUCGCUCAAUCGUCACAUGUCCAUAAUUACUGUCCCGUGGAGACAAAAUAUGGCUGAACGACAGAGACGAGCGAUGCUGGUUUUUGCAAUGAUAAUAAAAUCUGGCUUUGAACGGCGCUCAAACCACUUUUCUCUGCUGUUUAUUCUGCCCCUUUGUGUACGACACAAAACCCGGUGUAUGUCAUGUCUAUUUGUCUACAUGGUUGUAAUAUUUGUAAUUCGAGAAAGGAGUUCCUUCUCGUUUGGGCCAGUACGUAGUCAUUUAAAGUAUUGUGUAAAAAGAUACUAAACCUACUCCACAGCUUGAACCCAUCCUUAUUCAAUCACAGGUUUCGUACCGUUGCAGUGAGGUGGUGCGUGGCUUUCUACGUUUGCAUGUGUUGUGCACGUAUGUUUAUGAUUUUUUUUUUUACAUUUUGCCCUUUUCCUUAGCUUAUGUGAGCUCAGGGUUAUACACUACAUUGUCACUCUUUCCCCAUAUGAUACAAAAUAUGUCUCAUAUGUAACCCGCUGCAGCACUGCAACCCAACGUCACGUUCUAAUUGGCUGUAGCGUUGCUCUGAUGCUCUCUUGUGGGUUUCCAAGCUGAUCAAAUUCCUAAGCAGCCGGUUUGUCACUUGAGUCAUCUCGUCCUGUGUAAUCCUUUGUCUGCCGGCCCUGAGCGAGGCAUAUCGCACAGACAGAGGGGCUUUUGAAAUGCAGUAAAUUUGAAAUGUAAAAAUGUCCCUUAUUUUUUUCCCUUUUUGAUUAAUGCCCCAGACCACACACUGUGUGGGGAGUGAGGGGAAUUUUUCUUCCUUAAUAAGCAUGUUUCAGGUUGUAACAGGCUGUUUUCCUUUCAUUCAUAUUCAUGUCGCAGUGUCUGUGAAAACAGCCAUGUCUGAAUCAUCACAGCCCAUCACACGGCAACUGUGUGGAUGGUGACUUCAAAGUGAAUGACAUUUACUUCCCAACAUCAAAAUAGCUAAGAAUUAUAUUUCAUAUCUGACUGUAAAGAAAAUGAGUUUGACUGUGGUUUCAAUACGCUGCCAAGUAAAAUGAUUCCUUUGGCUUGUAUAGUUCAAACAAACUCCUAUCUCAAAAGUCUACGCAU
This is a long non-coding RNA of Scophthalmus maximus (turbot), 1690 nucleotides long. RefSeq lists it as uncharacterized. The transcript is spliced from 3 exons. NCBI's taxonomy places the organism in Eukaryota, Metazoa, Chordata, Actinopteri, Pleuronectiformes, Scophthalmidae. The record is from RefSeq and is a predicted model, not a curated record.